UUUUUAUAGUUGAAUAACAACGGCGGUUUUUCAGAUCGUAAGUUUUGGUUCAAGUCCAGAUAAAAAUGG
Molecule: transfer RNA, 69 nt
Filed under: Urosaurus ornatus
Lineage: Eukaryota; Metazoa; Chordata; Lepidosauria; Squamata; Phrynosomatidae
Description: tRNA-Glu
Rfam family: tRNA
About the family: Transfer RNA (tRNA) molecules are approximately 80 nucleotides in length. Their secondary structure includes four short double-helical elements and three loops (D, anti-codon, and T loops). Further hydrogen bonds mediate the characteristic L-shaped molecular structure. tRNAs have two regions of fundamental functional importance: the anti-codon, which is responsible for specific mRNA codon recognition, and the 3' end, to which the tRNAs corresponding amino acid is attached (by aminoacyl-tRNA synthetases). tRNAs cope with the degeneracy of the genetic code in two manners: having more than one tRNA (with a specific anti-codon) for a particular amino acid; and 'wobble' base-pairing, i.e. permitting non-standard base-pairing at the 3rd anti-codon position.
Source: RNAcentral